Long non-coding RNA from Plutella xylostella (diamondback moth), 1189 nucleotides. RefSeq lists it as uncharacterized. Lineage: Eukaryota; Metazoa; Arthropoda; Insecta; Lepidoptera; Plutellidae. The record is from RefSeq and is a predicted model, not a curated record.
GAUCGACCUGCGAACGGAACGGAACUGUCAGUGCUAACAAGAGCCUCUUCGUUUCGUUGUGCUGUUUUUGGUGCUGAGUGUUUGUAAAAAGUUACUAGCUUUUGGUUUUGUUUUGGUGCUUGUGUACAAUAGAAUUACAGAGGCAUGGCCCGGGGGCAGCGGCGGUAUUCCCGAAAAAAUAGGAAAGCUGAAAUUUAGAAGAAAAAAAAUAUUAAAUAAAGAUAUAAGAAGAGAUGUAAGAAGGCAAGCUGACAAUGGGAUGGUAUGUCUGCAAAGCCAAUCAUAAAGAACCAAAUAAACUGCUUAUGGGCUUAUGGUUAUAUUAAACCGAUUGCAUGUAUCUAUAUACUCUAAGCAUGUAUCAUAUUUGUUUUCUCAGCCUCACACUUUAACUCAGGUUCGCUGAAGCAUCGGCAAGCUGAAUGUGAGAUGGUAUGUUGAUGUCCUGUACAUUGACACGGAAAUGAGGCAUUGAAGAUGUUAUGUUGGGGACAAUGCAUGAUAGAACAGGUGCUUCCCCUUGGUGACGAAAAUGCCGCACCGCCACUGUGACUAAUGCUGAUGCUGUUGCUACAAAUAGUGCUUUGCCCGACGGAAUUGAAAUUAUGUGAACUCCCAGCGCAGAGGCUGAAGCCAAAGGAGACAUGAUGGUUUUGCAGCGCGAGCAGAUACAAUGCGAUAGCAAGAAGGCGGACACCAUGGAAAUGGUAGCUGCAGCAAGAAAUACACAAACUGCUGUAAAUUAGGCCCAUAAUGCCAGAUGAAUGGCAUUCAUAGAAGCAGGACUUGAGUUGUGGAAAAAUGUAGAUAGUAUUCCUAAUCGUAAUUCAUUAAUGAAUCCUACUUAAUAUAACAAAAACAUGUCUUUAAAUGCAUCAACAUGGUACCUAAGUUAUAUACUUUUUUCUAGGCUCUUGAGAAAAAGGAGGAAUAGUUCUAAUUAUGUAAUAACUUGAUUGUUACUGAAUGAUUAUGAGAAUACUCAAAGACUUAUAUGGGAAAUAAGGCUUUUAUCAUUAAUAUUAUUAGUUUUAUUAAAGCUUUGUUGUUUUCCAAGAUGAUUUAGUCAGCAGUGGAUAUCUGACUUUAGAAAACAUAUACUUAGGUAAUUUGGUUAUUCUAGGAAAGAGACUUAAAUAAACAAACUGUGAUUAAUUUGUUGUUUAAAUAAAUAUAAAGUGAAUGUGUA